GUUACUUUGGCAGAUUAGUGCAAUUGAUUUAGAAUCAUUUUAUGUAAUUUUUUACAGGUAAUA
This 63-nucleotide transfer RNA is filed under the name Themus regalis. RNAcentral describes it as "tRNA-Leu". Lineage: Eukaryota; Metazoa; Arthropoda; Insecta; Coleoptera; Cantharidae. RNAcentral also lists the same sequence under 4 other names. The record is from RNAcentral.